Long non-coding RNA from Clupea harengus (Atlantic herring), 2665 nucleotides. The record is from Ensembl. NCBI's taxonomy places the organism in Eukaryota, Metazoa, Chordata, Actinopteri, Clupeiformes, Clupeidae.
AAACUGGGCAAUGUGGUGGGCCCUGACACUCACGUCCAGGACAUCGGGAAGAUUCACUUUGUGCAGUUUGACUCUGAUGGAGUGUUUGGCUGGAUUCUUAAAGAUCCCAAGCUGAUAGACAGAAUGCUUAAAGAGCCUGUAGAAACUCUUGGCACUAUUCCCAGAAGGAAGCGAUCAUAUGAUGAUGAUGAUGAUGAUGAUGAUUAUGAAGAUGAUGAUGUCAUAAAGACGUCACUGCUGGAUACUCCCCCUCGCAUCCCCAACCCUAUUGCAUGCCUGUCAUCCAAAGACAUGCUCAUAUUCCAGCUCAACAUCAACCACACAGAUCGCCUCCACAGCCACUUCCCAGUGUACCAGAAGGACCAUCUCUUCAACAGCAACCCUAGCUGGGACUAUGGAGCCUUCAGGCGGCUGGAAUACCUGAUGAGACACACACACUUUAACUCCUCCAGGUUUGCCCACGUGUUCCCUGAGUCGGGCACGUUCGUGUUUGCAGACAGCGCUGUGCCCGAGAGGAGCCUGGUGGUGGUGGUGAGCGAGGACGGCUCCUCCUGCGACCCCAACGCGCCCCCCUUCCAGCCCAGCUCCCCCGCCCAGCUGGUCCGACACGGAGUCGCCCCGCGGCCCCGCCUCAACCUGCUGCCCGACUGGGGGGCCAUCGCAGGUAUCCUGGUGACCCUGCUGGUCCUGGUGGCGGUCGUGACAGGCACAGCUCUGCUGCUGAAGCCCCACAGGAGUCACCUGGUCUCCCAGGGCAACCCCAAACCUCGCUGGCGCAGUCUGGGACACCCCCCCACUCCCCUGGAGUACGUCUACAACGGGGAGAGCCUGGACGCUCCCUCUGCGCUGGGCCUGAGAGGGGUGGGAGAAGGAGCAGAGGCUGAGGAGAAAGCCAUCUGGAGAGGAGGCUGUAAGAGUGUGAGUAUGGAUCUGGAGGAGUUUAAUGUGAAGACGCUGUACGAUAAGCUGGAGGACCAGAACCUGCACGUGGCGUCCCAGCUGGCCAAGUACCGCAAAGACACACAGGAGUUUUACCGCAACAUCUGCCAGCAGACAGACAGCCUGAAGGACACUCUUGAGAACAUGGGGCCUGAGAAGCUCAAUCAGCUGAAAGAGAUCAUGCAGCUGAACAGCAAGCAAAGCCACGCACUCUACGGUGGACUGAGCCAGUACGAGGGGGGAGUUAGCAAAGACUCUCUGCAAGUGAUGGAAGCCCUGCUACAGGCAGUGGAGGCCCUGCUCUACAGGCUGUGUGGAGAGAGCUGGCAGCAGAUGGAGACGGCCCCUUGCCUCAGAGACACACGCCAGGGCGAACUCCAGACGGGAUACACACCAUUUUCCUCCACUGCCAUGACGGAGCUGAAAACAGGCCGAGAGACGGAGCAGGCUGGCUCAGAGUCAGUGCCCACCCAGUGCAGUGGUGUGUGUGUGAGUGAUCAGGAGCUGUCCCGGCUGGUGGCUCUCACUCCUCUCUCACGGACCAUCCAGGAGAUCCAGGAGUCUCUGCGGAGCCUGCCCCGCCCACAGGAAGCAGUGACCGAGGAGGAGCCGCCCUCCUGCCCCGCCACGCCCCUCACGCCCCUGACGCCCCUCGCCCUGGACUCCCUCUCCCCCUGGCACUUCUCCGUCUUCCUGUUCGGCUGCCACCUCGUCCGCCUGCUCCGGGGCAUCCAGGGCUUCCCCCAGGUCCUGCUGCUCCUGGCUAAGAGCGUGCCCGCGGCAGCCGCCUCUCACACCGACGACAGCAUGGUGGCCUACUGCUGCGGGGACUUUUAUUAUGACACACGCAACCAGAUCCUCUACCUGCUGGAGUCCAGGCUGCAGGACGUGGGCCAGUGGGUCUCCGUGCUCCUGCACUCCAUGGCCUACGUCAGCGCCGGCCAGGAGGGAGCUCGGCCCAGAGAGUUCAUGGAGGCCUUCCACAAGGCCCUGUCAGUGCUGGGGCUAGAGCUGUUCACACACUCUUUCACUCAGGACCAGAGGAGUACAGAGGACGAGGGCACCAGGAGUUUUCGAGGGACAGUCGUCGAGGACUUCUUGAGUGUGAGAGUGUCCUCUGACACACAUCUCACACCACACCUGCUGCAGGAGAGGCUUCAGAAAUACAAGUACUUCAAGCUGGAGCAGGUUCUCCAUGACCUCAGUCCAGCGAGGCAGCCUGAAGGUAUUGUGUGUGGAGCAGGAGAUAAAGAGGCUUAAUGACGUGUACCUGCAGCUGGGCUCACAGCUUCUGAGCCAAUCACCUGGGGCACACACACACUGUCACACACAGUCUCUCUCCCAGGCACCUCCAGAGACGGCUGUGGCCCAGGAGAGGACCCUGCUUCUGAGUCUGCAGCAGCACACCGUAGCCAAGAGGCUGGAGGAGAUGAGAGAGAAGCUCUCCAGGAUCACACCCCAGAAAACACACACCCCGCAGAAAUCACUUCCUGCUCAACACACACCAACACACAGCACCCUCUUGACAGAGAGCCAGGCCCAGGCCCAGACACACACACACCAGCCAGAGGAGCUGAAAUCAGAGAGCAGCGUCUCCCAGCAGGACACAGCAAAGCCCAGCGUCUAACACACACACACACACAGCAAAGCCCAGCGUCUAACACACACAGCAAAGCCCAACAUCUAACACACACAGCGUCUAACACACACAGCGUCUAACACACAC